AAUAUAUAGAGUCCGAUAGGUGUACUAAGUACUUAAUAGGGAAUUUGGUGAAAAUCCAAAGCUAUCCCAGUAACUGUAAGUGAGGACGACUUAGCAAAAGCCACUAAUUUAUUUUGGGAAGGCGCUAAGAAGUAUGAUUCACAAGCCAGGAGACCUGCCAUGGGAUUAUGAAAUUU
Molecule: non-coding RNA, 176 nt
Filed under: Clostridium sulfidigenes
Lineage: Bacteria; Bacillati; Bacillota; Clostridia; Eubacteriales; Clostridiaceae
Source: RNAcentral